RNAcentral lists this ribosomal RNA (347 nucleotides) under Vishniacozyma sp. RNAcentral's name for it is "partial large subunit ribosomal RNA". It matches the Rfam family "Eukaryotic large subunit ribosomal RNA", at positions 108 to 455 of the family's 3401-position model. The record is from RNAcentral. Lineage: Eukaryota; Fungi; Basidiomycota; Tremellomycetes; Tremellales; Bulleribasidiaceae.
CUCAAAUUUAAAAUCUGGCGUCUUUCAGGUGUCCGAGUUGUAAUCUAUAGAGGCGUUUUCCGCGCCGGCCCGCGUCCAAGUCUCUUGGAAUAGAGUAUCAAAGAGGGUGACAAUCCCGUACUUGACGCGACAACCGGUGCUCUGUCCCACGUUCUCAAUGAGUCGAGUUGUUUGGGAAUGCAGCUCUAAAUGGGUGGAAAUUCCAUCUACCGCUAAAUAUUGGGAGAGACCGAUAGCGAACAAGUACCGUGAGGGAAAGAUGAAAGCAUCCGGAAUGAGAGUAAAUUUUUUUCGCCAUUUUAAAAGGGAACGAUGAAGCCCACCGCCCACCAAAUCAGCGCUCUGGG